Molecule: ribosomal RNA, 253 nt
Filed under: uncultured bacterium
Lineage: Bacteria
Description: partial 16S ribosomal RNA
Rfam family: Bacterial small subunit ribosomal RNA
Source: RNAcentral
UACAGAGGUCCCAAGCGUUGUUCGGAUUCACUGGGCGUAAAGGGUGCGUAGGUGGCGGGGUAAGUUUGAUGUGAAAUCUCCGGGCUCAACCCGGAAAAUGCAUUGAAUACUACUCUGCUGGAGGUUUGGAGGGGGGACUGGAAUUCUUGGUGUAGCAGUGAAAUGCGUAGAUAUCAAGAGGAACACCAGUGGCGAAGGCGAGUCCCUGGACAACACCUGACACUGAGGCACGAAAGCUAGGGGAGCAAACAGG